This 89-nucleotide transfer RNA is filed under the name Clostridiales bacterium. RNAcentral's name for it is "tRNA-Ser". It matches the Rfam family "tRNA". From Rfam's summary of the family: Transfer RNA (tRNA) molecules are approximately 80 nucleotides in length. Their secondary structure includes four short double-helical elements and three loops (D, anti-codon, and T loops). Further hydrogen bonds mediate the characteristic L-shaped molecular structure. tRNAs have two regions of fundamental functional importance: the anti-codon, which is responsible for specific mRNA codon recognition, and the 3' end, to which the tRNAs corresponding amino acid is attached (by aminoacyl-tRNA synthetases). tRNAs cope with the degeneracy of the genetic code in two manners: having more than one tRNA (with a specific anti-codon) for a particular amino acid; and 'wobble' base-pairing, i.e. permitting non-standard base-pairing at the 3rd anti-codon position. The record is from RNAcentral. Lineage: Bacteria; Bacillati; Bacillota; Clostridia; Eubacteriales. RNAcentral also lists the same sequence under 4 other names.
GGAGAGGUGUCCGAGUGGUUUAAGGAGCCGGUCUUGAAAACCGGUGACUCCGUAAGGGGCCGUGGGUUCGAAUCCCACCCUCUCCGCCA